GCCUGAGUCUACAGUCAACCUAUUUUAGUCGUGUGCCCCACAACGACAUUUUGGUCAACAAUGGACUGCAUAUACCAUGUGGCCCCAUAAGAUUAUAAUAGAGCUGAAAAAUUCCUGCUGCCUAGUGACAUUGUCGCUGUUGUGAUGAUGUUGUAGCUAUUGUAGUAGCACAAUGCAUUACUCACGUGUUUGUGGUGUUCCUGUUGUAAAUAAGUCGACUAUGCUGCCAGUUGUAUAAACGUCUAGCACAUGUAAUUCUGUAUAGUACACAAUACUUGGUAAUGAUAAUAAACGACUAUGUUACUGGUUUAUAUAUUUGUUGUACUAUUUAUCAUUACUUUAGAGUGUAUUC
This 352-nucleotide long non-coding RNA is filed under the name Homo sapiens (human). Its description in RNAcentral is "HSALNT0060999". The record is from RNAcentral. Lineage: Eukaryota; Metazoa; Chordata; Mammalia; Primates; Hominidae.